UACGGGGGGGGCAAGCGUUGUUCGGAAUUACUGGGCGUAAAGGGCUCGUAGGCGGCCAACUAAGUCAGACGUGAAAUCCCCAGGCUUAACCUGGGAACUGCGUCUGAUACUGGAUGGCUUGAAUUCGGGAGAGGGAUGCAGAAUUCCAGGUGUAGCGGUGAAAUGCGUAGAUAUCUGGAGGAAUACCGGUGGCGAAGGCGGCAUCCUGGACCGACAUUGACGCUGAGGAGCGAAAGCUAGGGGAGCAAACAGG
This 253-nucleotide ribosomal RNA is filed under the name uncultured bacterium. RNAcentral's name for it is "partial 16S ribosomal RNA". It matches the Rfam family "Bacterial small subunit ribosomal RNA", at positions 524 to 776 of the family's 1533-position model. The record is from RNAcentral.